Molecule: long non-coding RNA, 2701 nt
Organism: Bactrocera neohumeralis
Lineage: Eukaryota; Metazoa; Arthropoda; Insecta; Diptera; Tephritidae
Exons: 2
Source: RefSeq, a predicted model, not a curated record
AUUACUAACCUGACUUCACUUACGCCAACAAACAAAAAAUAGCGAUAAGUGUAUAUAAAGAUUGACAGCUAACCGCGAUAACACUCUACAAAGUGACUUGACUCAAACUCUCCAAAAUAAAUAUAACGCGAAAAAGUGUAUAUACAUUCAUAGGUACAUACAUACUAUGUAUGUAUAUGAAAAGUACAUGUAAUUUCACUAUAAAGUGUAUGCGCGCAUGCAACGAGUGCUAUAUAAGAAUCAGUCAACGAGCGAUAAUGGUUCACAAAAUACACGAUCGCUGAAUAAACAGAUACACUUCGCUGAGUAUACGUCGUAUAGAACAGAAAAAGCGUCGAUUUGAAAAACAAUUUGCGCAUAUUUAAUAUACACCGCAAGCACUUUGCGGGGUAGUCGGUGUUAGUGUGGUGAAUAAGUGGUAAUGGCGCGCAAAAUACCACACAGUGCACACCCCCUUUUAACACAACAUUCACAGUUUCAAAAACAAUGUACACACAUAGAUACAGUUAAGUGUAUGUAAACCUGCAACGUGUGUAUAUAUGUACAUAUUUACAUGUGUUUGUCUAUACUUCAAUAUGGCGAACGUGAUCGCCGAGCAAUCGCUGCGAUAUUUGCGCAAACAAAAAGCAAACGCUGCGGAGGGAAAAGUGUUUAGCUUAAGGAAAAAAAUAUGCUUACGUUAUGAAAAGUGAGUGAGCGUUUAAGCGGCACAAAGUCUACUCCUGCUCAUAUAACGAAUUUUUUUAAGAGCGUAACUUUGUGUCAGCGCUUGUGUGGCACUUGUCAUUACACGCGGCUUUACUUUUAAACUAUUUUAUGUUUUUGAAUUCGAAUUGUGAAAUUUUAAGCAUUAUCGGCAGAUAUGUAUGUCGAAAGAGAUAACAAAUAGUUGUAAAAAUACAUAUGUAUAGCAGUAUGUAUGUAUAUCUUAUAUUAACAUGAGCGGUUUACGUGAAAGUCCAUUACUUGUGCUGUUAUCUUGUCAUUCACAUGUCAAACAGUCUGCUAAAUUAUGUCUACUGAAACUAUUUUCCAAAAAUUAUUUGGGCAAUGUUUUAUGCUGCUACCACAACAACAAAAUAACAACAAUAUUAGUUUCAUUACAAAAAUAAAUCGCUUAAACAUCACAGCACUCGCUAAGUGUUCCUACCAUAAUGCAGCAAAGCAGUUGUUUAUGCAGUUCUUAAUUAACAAAAGGCCUGUUAGGCAUAAUGCUAAAAAUAGUUAUUGCUAGAAAAACAUACGUAUGAUUUUACACGUGCGCAAAUUCAUUAAUUCAAAGCAUUUAUUAACUUAGGUUUUUGCUUGAAGAACGUUUGAAAAUAUGUACCUAUUUACGGUGUCAAUUAAGUGUAACGAUAAGGAACAAAUAAGACGGUAAUGCAAACAAUUUAAUGCUAAAACUCAUCAACCCUGAAUUGUUAGCCAUUUUUAUCAAAAAACUUGUUAUAUUUAGCUUUUAACUGAUGAAAUAUUUAACACUUCUAAAAUUAAAACUUUAAUGACGGUGACACGCAUUCUAAAGUGUAUCAAAACGUAUUUUAACCAUUAUGUUUUAUACAUACAUAAAAGCGCAAGAAGAAGCAAACACAUAUGGGUUGUAAAUAUACAGUAGGUAUUUGUCGGUACCAAUUGAGAUUGAGUCAUGGUAGUGGAAAAGGUAUGCGAGAUCUUCGUGUACACGAUUGUAUUCUAUACAGACGAAAUUUUCGGUACACACAUACAAUGGUAAACAAUUUUUGGCGCCAUUUCUACAAAUGUUGAAGAGUGCUUUGUGGUAGCACAUGUUGACGACUUCAUGAUAUAUUUAAGGAAUUGUGUUUUAUUUGCUGAUAGUGCAUCACUUUAUAAGCAUAUCUUAAUAAAUAUUUAUAAUUGGCGGUUUUUAGAUGGUGUUCAGCUGUUAAACAAUAUCUAAAUAUUUUUUAUGGAAUUUUGUUUGCGGUCAACAAGCUAAUCAGCAUUAGCUAUGCAAUUAAUUCGAAUUUAAAAUAGAAAUUAAUCCUUAUAUAUUAAAAUUAUAUUAUAUUUAUAUAUUAAAAUUACGUGUCGCGAUGGACUUCUAAACUAUUGAACCGAUUUUAGCAAAAUUUAGCACACUGUGUCCAGUUGGAGCCGACUUAGAAGAUAGGAUAGAUAUUUUCACUAUAUUGAAUAGCUUAUUAUAUGAAUAAUCGUAUAAAAUGUAUACCACAAGCAACGGGUGGCCGGAUCCACUAUUUUUUUUUUUAUAUAUUUAAUGCAAGCAAAUAAGGAAAAGUGCUGCGCAGUGUUGCAUUUAAUAAAAUUUAUGUUGAAAUUUUCAACUUUUUGUUUUUUUUUUGACCUUCAAUAUUCUUAAAUUUGUUUGUUUAGUUUAUUAUCUACAACAGUGAUUUAUUUGAUGAAAUCUUUUACGAUAAGAUUUUUGUUAGUAGAUAAAAAUAACUUUUUGUGUUUGCAUAUUGAUUGUUUGUGUAAUUUGUAAUCAAUAUUUAGUCAAUAAAAAUUUUGUGGUUAUAAAAUCAAUGUGGAUCGCUGCCAACGGUAGCUGUGGUCUUCAUAACAACCGCAAAUUGUGUGUACAAUAAUGUUAUAAAAAUCCGAAGAAUUUUAGUAUUUUGUGUGAAAUUGUUUUUUAAUUUAUUUGAAUUAAUUAUAUUGUAUAUAUGUUGAAAUAUUUUCUGUUAUUUAGACUAAAUAUUAUUUUGGGUAAAAAGGA